UGCAUUGGGAGAGUUAAAGUAUUUGACAACAAAAGGGUGAUUAGAAGAAUUUCUGAUUGCAGUAAAUUAACUUGAAUAUGAAUGAACAGCAACUAAAGAUUGUUCGAAAAGUAUAUGUCAAGGUGCGUAUUCAUGUUCAAGCGUCGGUUGUGUCUUUGUAACCGUUGCAGCAGGUGCUUUAGUAUCUCCAACAGAAGCCAUUUGAAGAGUUUCUCCUGAAUCUGCAGCUCUUU
This 233-nucleotide long non-coding RNA is filed under the name Lathyrus oleraceus (garden pea). RNAcentral's name for it is "Pisum sativum (pea) long non-coding RNA (PSAT_LNC040908)". The record is from RNAcentral. Lineage: Eukaryota; Viridiplantae; Streptophyta; Magnoliopsida; Fabales; Fabaceae.